AAUCAUGUACUUUGACACUCGAUAUAUAUCAAUAAAGGCAUUGUGUUUCAUCAUUUGCUGCUUAUCUAUUUUAUUAUUGGAUGAUGAACCCUAUAAAUUAGGACAUUGGUUUUAGGGUUAUGAUGAGAUCAUACUAGUGAGACCUAAAAUCCUAAAAUCCUAAUUUAGAAUAUUCCCAGUCAAAUUGGUAUAUUGAGUCGGGGAUCAAUAUUACCGGAAAGACUGGCACAUCUUAUGUAUGCUCAAUGU
Molecule: long non-coding RNA, 249 nt
Filed under: Phoenix dactylifera (date palm)
Lineage: Eukaryota; Viridiplantae; Streptophyta; Magnoliopsida; Arecales; Arecaceae
Description: long non-coding RNA (PDAC_LNC013933)
Source: RNAcentral